Molecule: ribosomal RNA, 434 nt
Filed under: uncultured bacterium
Lineage: Bacteria
Description: partial 16S ribosomal RNA
Rfam family: Bacterial small subunit ribosomal RNA
Source: RNAcentral
AGCGAACGCUGGCGGCAGGCCUAACACAUGCCAGUCGAACGAACCUUUCGGGGUUAGUGGCGGACGGGGGAGGAACACGUGGGAACGUGCCUUUAGGCUCGGAAUAACUCAGGGAAACUUGUGCUAAUACCGAAUGUGCCCUUCGGGGGAAAGAUUAAUCGCCUUUAGAGCGGCCCGCGUCUGAUUAGCUAGUUGGUUGAGGUAAUGGCUCACCAAGGCGACGAUCAGUAGCUGGUCUAAGAGGAUGAUCCGCCACAUUGGGACUGAGACACGGCCCAAACUACUACGGGAGGCAGCAGUGGGGAAUCUUGCGCAAUGGGCGAAAGCCUGACGCAGCCAUGCCGCGUGAAUGAUGAAGGUCUUAGGAUUGUAAAAUUCUUUCACCGGGGACGAUAAUGACGGUACCCGGAGAAGAAGCCCCGGCUAACUUCGUG